GGACCCGCACAAGCGGUGGAGCAUGUGGUUUAAUUCGAUGCAACGCGAAAAACCUUACCUACUCUUGACAUACUUGGGAGCUCUUGUAAUGAGAGUGUGCCUUUUGGAACCAAGAUACAGGUGCUGCAUGGCUGUCGUCAGCUCGUGUCGUGAGAUGUUCCGUUAAGUCGGAUAACGAGCGCAACCCUUACCCUUAUUUGCCAGCGAUUCGGUCGGGAACUAUAAGGGGACUGCCGGUGAUAAACCGGAGGAAGGUGAGGACGACGUCAAGUCAUCAUGGCCCUUACGAGUAGGGCUACACACGUGCUACAAUGGCAAGUACAACGAGUCGCAAUACCGCGAGGUGGAGCA
This 351-nucleotide ribosomal RNA is filed under the name uncultured bacterium. RNAcentral's name for it is "bacterial SSU rRNA". It matches the Rfam family "Bacterial small subunit ribosomal RNA", at positions 917 to 1269 of the family's 1533-position model. The record is from RNAcentral.